CCUACGGGGAGCAGCAGUGAGGAAUAUUGGUCAAUGGGCGAGAGCCUGAACCAGCCAAGUCGCGUGAAGGAUGACGGCCCUACGGGUUGUAAACUUCUUUUGUCAGGGAACAAUUGCGUCCACGUGUCGGCUUAGCGAGGUUACCUGAAGAAAAAGCAUCGGCUAACUCCGUGCCAGCAGCCGCGGUAUUCCGGAGGAUGCGAGGGUUACCCGGUUUUUUUGGGUUUAAAGGGUGCGUAGGCGGAAUGUCAAGUCAGCGGUAAAAAUUCGGGGCUCAACCCCGUCGGGCCGUUGAAACUGAGGUUCUAGAGUGGGCGAGAAGUAUGCGGAAUGCGUGGUGUAGCGGUGAAAUGCAUAGAUAUCACGAAGAACUCCGAUUGCGAAGGCAGCAUACCGGCGCCCAACUGACGCUGAAGCACGAAAGCGUGGGUAUCGAACAGGAUUAGAUACCCUUGUAGUC
This 460-nucleotide ribosomal RNA is filed under the name uncultured bacterium. RNAcentral describes it as "partial 16S ribosomal RNA". It matches the Rfam family "Bacterial small subunit ribosomal RNA", at positions 338 to 795 of the family's 1533-position model. The record is from RNAcentral.